This is a long non-coding RNA of Zingiber officinale, 362 nucleotides long. RefSeq lists it as uncharacterized. The record is from RefSeq and is a predicted model, not a curated record. NCBI's taxonomy places the organism in Eukaryota, Viridiplantae, Streptophyta, Magnoliopsida, Zingiberales, Zingiberaceae. The transcript has 3 exons.
CUCAGCCGUGUUUUCUCCACCCGACGGCGUCGCCAUCCGUAGUGCCGCCGACCUUCUCCACCCCGUCGCCUCUGCCCUAGCCGAACCUUGAAGAAAUUGGAGAGGCAGGGGGAAACAGUGAGGAAGGGCUCUGCUGUGCAGUGUUCCGACAGCAACAAUUAGAGUUCCAGCAGCAAUAAAUUUAAGCUGGCAGCAACAGACCUGGUGUGGAUCAACAAGCACGGCUACGAGUUAGCAAUUUAUUGUGUUGCUAGCAGCGACAAGUCGAUCUCCAAUUGUGCUGUUGACAGAAUCUUUACAGUUGUGAGGACUUUGACGCGAGACGAGUAUCUCGGAGUCAGAUUUGGACCAUUUUAUCGGAG